Molecule: long non-coding RNA, 6145 nt
Filed under: Ornithorhynchus anatinus (platypus)
Lineage: Eukaryota; Metazoa; Chordata; Mammalia; Monotremata; Ornithorhynchidae
Description: lncRNA (ENSOANG00000036788.1)
Source: RNAcentral
CCCCCACCCACCCUGGCUCCUCAGACGCCUCCCCUUGAGGGGCUUCCCCGGGUGUCCCCUCAGCCAAACCCUCCCUGAGUGUCUCCCCAGCCAACCCCGGCUCCCCCCGAGUGUCUCCUCGACCGCCCCCGCUCCCCUUGAGUGUGUCCUCAUCCGCCCCCUCUUCCCCCCGAGUGUCUCCUCAGCCAACCCCGCUCCCUCUGAGUGUCUCCUCAUCCGCCCCCUCUUCUCCCCGAGUGUCCCCUCAUCCACCCCCUCUUCUUCCCCGAGUGUCCCCUCAGCCAAACCCUCUUCCCCGUGAGUGUGUCCUCAUCCGCCCCCUCUUCUCCCCGAGUGUCCCCUCAUCCACCCCCUCUUCUUCCCCGAGUGUCCCCUCAGCCAAACCCUCUUCCCCGUGAGUGUCUCCUCAUCCGCCCCCUCUUCUCCCCGAGUGUCCCCUCAUCCGCCCCCUCUUCUCCCCUGUCUCCUCAUCCGCCCCCUCUUCUUCCCCCCGAGUGUCUCCUCAUGUGCCCCCUCUUCUCCCCGAGUGUCCCCUCAUCCGCCCCCUCUUCUUCCCCGAGUGUCCCCUCAGCCAAACCCUCUUCCCCGUGAGUGUGUCCUCAUCCGCCCCCUCUUCUUCCCCCCGAGUGUCUCCUCAGCCAACCCCGCUCCCUCUGAGUGUCCCCUCAGCCGCCCCCUCUUCUCCCCGAGUGUCCCCUCAUCUGCCCCCUCUUCUUCCCCCCCGAGUGUCUCCUCAGCCAACCCCGCCCCCCCCGAGUGUCCCCUCAUCCGCCCCCUCUUCUUCCCCCCCGAGUGUCUCCUCAGCCAACCCCGCCCCCUCUGAGUGUCCCCUCAUCCGCCCCCUCUUCUUCCCCCCCGAGUGUCCCCUCAGCCAAACCCUCUUCCCCAUGAAUGUCCCCUCAGCCGCCUUUUCUUCCCCCCCGAGUGUCUCCUCAGCCAACCCCGCUCCCUCUGAGUGUCCCCUCAUCCGCCCCCUCUUCUUCCCCCCUCGUGUCUCCUCAUGUGCCCCCGUUUCCCCCCGAGUGUCCCCUCAUCCAUCCCUCCCGGGUCCCCCCGCGUGUCUCCUCAGGCGCCCCCGAGUGUGUCCCCUCCUCCUCCUCCUCCUCCUCCUCCUCCUCCUCCCCCUCCCUCCUCUCCCCGCCCCGCGCGCCCCCGCGCGCUCCCCUCCCCCCCGCCCCCCCCGCGCGCGCGAGGCCCUCGCGGGCCGAGGCGGGUCGGGCGCGGGGGGCGGGGGGUCGGGGGGGGGGAGGGGCGGCCGUGGCGCGGGGGCGCGCCGGCGUCGGGGGCGCGCGCGCGCGGGCGGAGCGCGCGUCCGCGGCGCCGUGACUUGGCGGGUCCGCAGCGGCUGCAGCGGGAGGAGCCGGAGUCGGAGCCGGAGGAGGAGGAGGAGGAGGAGGAGGAGGCAACGCUCCCCGGCCCGGCCCCGCCGCCGCCGCCGCCGCCAUGCGGAGGGCCCGGGCUCGGGGCGGGGGCCGCCGGCUGCCGGCGCUCUGCCGGCUGCCGGCGCUCUGCUGCCUCCUCGGCGCCGUGCGGGCGGCGGCGGCGGCGGCGGAGGAGGAGAAGGACGGGGCGGGGGCGGCGGCCUUCGCCGGACAGGCCGAGCCAUGGACACGUGGCCCAGAAGCCGGGGACCCCACUGGCGCCUGAGCCAUCUGGGCAGUCACCAGUGCCCGGCAUGGAACCGGGCAGUCGUCGUGGGAGCAAGAACAUGUCCAUCCCAUGAACUGAUAGUCAUCGUGGACCAAACCCCGAGGGGUGUGUGUGGGUCUGUGAGCCGUAUGGGUCUUUCCAAGAACUGCAGCUCAUUGAGGUGUGAUUUCUCUGUUCGGAAACCUGAUUCUCUCCUUCCCCGCGGGCUUCCUCCGACUAAAUGCCAUCCCAGACUGUACUUACUUGCCAGCCCUAGGAAAGAGGCUCUCUAGCCAGUCAGGGCCGGGGUCACUUCUGGAACCUCCCCUUGGGUUCAGCUGGGGCCCGGGCCGGUCCCGUGGCCCAGGUGCCGUUGGGAAGUGAUGCCAUCUCGCUUCCCCGCUGAGUUCCUUCAGAACAUCUGGGCGGGUGCCAACUGGUCAUCGCAGUGAUUUAUUCACAUCUGGCUUCUUACUUGGGCCUCAGAUACGGCCUGUGGGUUCACCACAGUUCGAUCCACUCUCAGACCUGUCAGCCGCUACUUGGGUGUGGAACCUCCCCUCCCCCACCCUGUUCCCCUCCUUCCCCUCGUCUCCCUCCUUCUCCCCCUCUUUCCUUUUUCCUCCUUUCUCUUUCCUCCUGCAGACAUUUGUAGCCACGAUCAUCUCGCAGACCCCCGCUGCUGGUCCCUUUACGGGAUCCUGGUCACCGCCAGACCCCAGUUAGGCCCUCCCAGUGUCCCAGGUACACUGACCUGCCAGCAGCAGUGAGCCGUGGGUGGGAGCAGGGCAGUGUAGCGCUUCUUUGAUUCAAGUGGAGAGAUAGUGUUAUCUUGGACGCCCCACCCGACGAAACCCCUGGCAAUGGCGGUUCAGAGUAGAAAGAUCCAGGACUUGAAGAUCGGGCUCAGGAAGGCUGAGUCUCCCUCUGCUUUCUUCCUUCACGAGGACCACGGCUUCCUUUCAGCUUCCUAGAUCCCCUUCCUGCCAGACCCCAGCCAGUGACCGCCACCUCCCCGGCCUCUCCUGGGGGCGGUAAACACUGCCUAGCUGGAGUUGCUGUUUCUUGGAACCGGAGAAGGACCGGGAGGAGGAGGAGUUAGAGAGCUCUUCUGACCCACGGGGGAGGGAGACUGAGCUCCUUGGACAAUGAGGCCAGCAGAAACUGAGCCACCCCUCAGGAUUUGACCUGGAUAAUAAGCCCGGGGAAGGGGCAGAUGAGCUGCGAGGCCUUGGCGGAACCAGGGCUGGGCCCGGGCCUGCGCUCCCGGGCAGGUUGGAGCCAGUUCUCUAGGCCCCAGGGAGGCCCGUCUGUCACUUUCAGCUGGGGAACAGCAGAGCUGUGACGGUUUGGAAGGAGUGGGUGGGCUUUCCCCAGCACAGCCCCGUCUUCAUGUGGGAAGAAAGGGGCUUUCUCCUCUCCUCUUCUUUUUCCUCACUGCUUUCUCAUGGAGGUGGGCCAUGAACAGGGCUCCUGCCACGCCCUUCCUCCCCAGCCCACCACAACAGCUAGCACAGAGCUGACCCAACCCGUCAGAGUGUGAGGACUGUGGCUGCCAGCCCCAUCUUCUUGGGCCACUGCAUGACCAAGAUUUCUCUCCGGGGACAAUCCAUAAAGUCCCCGCACUUUUUUUUUUCCUGUUUUGAUUUUUUUUUUUCAUGUCCUUCACUUGGGGCAACCUUGUGGGAUCUUUCUCUCAGGUUGAGACCCCUCAGGAAGAGAGACUGACACGGACCGGUCAAGUUCUUGCCUUUUGAGAUUUCCAAGUGCUGGAGCCGGGGCCUCCCUGGUCGGCUCCUGCCCCGGUCAGAGAAGGAGCUACGAUCUAGCCAGGUGAUGUUUUCAGUGAGGCAGAAGGAAGAAGCUCGUAAGCCAGGGGACCAGGGUCCGCGGCUGGCACGGAGAUCCGCUUCUCUCUUCCCUUCCAUCCCCUGCGCCCGUAAGGCUGACGGUUGGAGCCGUGGCACCGGGGACUCCACCCGCCGCUCCCCUACCCCCCCCCGUUUCCACGGCACAGUAAAGUGGUGAGCCGGACCUGGGAUUCGGAGGUGUCCUCCUACAUCGAGGCAAAGCUCAUGCCAGUGUCGCCAGUGCACCGAUGGAUAAACCAAAACGAAGCACACAGUCAUGAAGUGGCCGAUGCCCGGUCACCUGAACGGAAGCCGUAGCCGAGACCCCUGCUGUGACCGUCCACCUUUAAGAUCUCUUCAGCGGUGCCACCCUGGUGGGCCCGUGGAAGGACAGAGGCAAUGCCCUUUUGCACCAGACCGGUCCUCCCUGCCCACGGCUCUGUCUCUCACAACGGCACCAGAGGAUGCUUGGAGGGAGAGAGCGAGGGAUGCCUUCCUGGAUCGAUCGAUCAGUCGUAUUUAUUGAGUGCUGACCGUGUGCCCUUUCCCUCGAACGAUCGGCUACGGUUUCCCGUCGAAGACCCACCCGACCCCUUCUUGACCCCGUGGAUGGUUUCCGACAGGACACUUUUCUGUGUGAGCCUAUUCUGGGCUCUCCCCACCCACUGGAUGGAACAUUUCCUCAAGCUUGCUGCGAACCUCCAACCCGCACACUCUGGGGAGGGCUGCCGGUGAGCAUAAAAAGGCUUGUCCCAUCCACGUCUCGCUUCUUUUUUUGAUUUUAAUGGUAUUUGUUAAGCGCCUACUUUGUGCCAGGUGCUGUCUAGGCGCUGGGGUAGAUAGAAGCUAAUCAGAUUGGACCCAAUCCAUGUGAGCCCACAUGGGGCUCACAGUCUUAAUCCCCAUUUUCAGAUGAGGUAACUGAAGCACAGAGAAGUGAGGUGACUUGCACAAGAUUAUACAGCAGACAAGUGGCGGGACUGGGAUUAGAACUCAGAUCCUUCUGACUCCCAGGCCCAAGCUCUAUUGAUUAGACCACACUGCUUUUCUGAGCCUAUUGUCACCUCCAGUUAUUGUCACCGUGCCACACAGGCGUCCUGAUUUUCUCGGGCUCCCUCUCCCCCGGGAUGCUGCUCCACCCACCCAUCGUCCCGGCGGGCUCUUCCCCUUCUUGGCCGUGUCCUUCCUUCUUUGUUGUCCUUCCUGAGAUACGCUGCAUAGAAUGGCAUGCUCUGGACCAAGAACUCCGCUUCUGGGUUUGGUUCGGACCUCGUUUCUUUGGAGUGAACCUCAACUGGUGCCCUGGUAGCGUAGAUGGUGUGGAGAUUAUCUCUGCAGACUCAAUGGGACGUUAGUCAACCCUAAAUCAUAAUGAGGCAGCAUCGGGGGAGGACAUCCGUUGUGUGUCCUCGGUGCCUGUUGUGUGCACAGCGCCGUACCUCGGCUCUUGGGAGAGGACAGUAGAAAUACUAGAUGUGUUUUUUGCACUCAAGGAGUUUACCCUCUAGUUGGGAAAGCAGACGGAAAGACAAAUCAGGAUGGGAGAAAGGAAUGGAAGGUGCCUAGGUGCUCUGGGGGCUAUGGGGAAGGGGGUGGGUGCACAAACACUUAAAUAAUGCAGAAAUGCUCAAGUGGCAGUUUGGGGAAUAGAUCUUGAGGUGAUUGGCGAUGAAUCAGGGCAGGCUUUCUGAGGACGUGUGAUGUCUUGAGGAUUUGGAAGAGGGGAGCACCCUGGCCGGCCAGCUUUGAAGGGAGAGGGUGGGUAGAGGCCCGUGAUAAAAAUGAGGAUGUUUGGCAUUGUAAUUCCGGAGGGGUUAGGGCACUAUGCUGGUCUAUCAAGAGGCCCAAAUUGCUCACAAAGCUGUGCUGCGUGUCAUAAUUUCCAUAAACUGGUGAAUCCCAUCGUGUCUUCUAAUGAAUACCUGUGGCUACAGGAUCUCCUCACCUGCAGGGGCUCUGAGUCCCCACACUUAUUGCUGACCUGCCAUCUCGCCCUGGGCUCUCUGACUGCCCUGCUUCACUCUUUGGUGAGUCUCGCCCCACCCAGAGCCCCAGGAGCUGGUGGGCCCAGCUGGAACACGCUGUAACAGCGGCACCGUCGUGGUUGUCAUUUUUUCUGAAACUGAGCGGCAUAAGUUCAGCGGUUAAGAGUAUAUCAAUCACUCUCUCCACCUCCAAAGCCUUAUUGAAGGCACCUCUCCUUCAAGAGGCCUUCUCUGACUAAGCCCUCAUUCCCUUCUCUCCCACUCCCUUCUGCAUCGCCCUUACAUUUGGGUUUUCUCCCUUUAUCCACACCCCCCUCAGCCCCACAGCACUUUUGUACAGAUCCGGAAUUUAUUUGUAUCAAUGUCAAUCUCCCCCUAGACUGCAGGCUCCAUGUGGGCAGGGAACGUGUUACCAGCUCUUAGAGUGUACUCUCCCAAGCACCUAGCAUCGUGCUUCGCACAAAGUGCUCAGUAAAUAUGAUUGAUUGAUUGAUUGAUUGAAGAGUUCAGGUCUUCCAAGGUAAGGCAGUAGUGGUUUCCUCGCCCGGCCCACUCCGUCAGGAACCCGUGGGUUGUUCCGCUACUGCCUUAGAAGGCUUAUGCCAAAAUCGUAGCUCCCCUGCCCCUCUUUACCAGCUGUGGAUGUCUUUGGGCCCUGGGACCUCUGGGACGGGGGUGGGG